This 878-nucleotide ribosomal RNA is filed under the name uncultured bacterium. RNAcentral describes it as "bacterial SSU rRNA". It matches the Rfam family "Bacterial small subunit ribosomal RNA", at positions 40 to 896 of the family's 1533-position model. The record is from RNAcentral.
CGGCGGGAUUAACACAUGCAAGUCGAGCGAGAAGCGUCCUUCGGGGCGUGAGUAAAGCGGCGCACGGGUGAGUAACACGUGGGUAACCUACCCUCCGGUGGGGGACAACAGCUCGAAAGGGCUGCUAAUACCGCAUUCGUCGGUGACGGCUAAGGCUGUUACCGGGAAAGGUGGGGUCGAAAGACCUAUCGCCGGAGGAUGGGCCCGCGGCCCAUCAGCUAGUUGGUGAGGUAAUGGCUCACCAAGGCAAAGACGGGUAGCUGGUCUGAGAGGAUGAUCAGCCACACUGGGACUGAGACACGGCCCAGACUCCUACGGGAGGCAGCAGUGGGGAAUAUUGGACAAUGGGCGAAAGCCUGAUCCAGCCACGCCGCGUGUGUGAUGAAGGUCUUCGGAUCGUAAAGCACUGUGGGGAGGGAAGAAUAGGCAGUGAGCUAAUACCUCAUUGCUCUGACGGUACCUCCUUAGCAAGCACCGGCUAACUCCGUGCCAGCAGCCGCGGUAAUACGGAGGGUGCAAACGUUGCUCGGAAUCAUUGGGCGUAAAGCGCGUGUAGGCGGCUCGCUAAGUCGAGUGUGAAAGCCCUGGGCUCAACCCAGGAAGUGCGCUCGAAACUGACGAGCUAGAGUACGGGAGAGGGUAGUGGAAUUCCCGGUGUAGAGGUGAAAUUCGUAGAUAUCGGGAGGAACACCAGUGGCGAAGGCGGCUACCUGGACCGAUACUGACGCUGAGACGCGAAAGCGUGGGUAGCAAACAGGAUUAGAUACCCUGGUAGUCCACGCUGUAAACGAUGAGUGCUAGGUGUCGCGGGUAUUGACCCCUGCGCGCCGAAGCUAACGCAUUAAGCACUCCGCCUGGGGAGUACGGCCGCAAGGCUA